RNAcentral lists this transfer RNA (76 nucleotides) under Alphaproteobacteria bacterium. RNAcentral's name for it is "tRNA-Lys". It matches the Rfam family "tRNA". Rfam says of the family: Transfer RNA (tRNA) molecules are approximately 80 nucleotides in length. Their secondary structure includes four short double-helical elements and three loops (D, anti-codon, and T loops). Lineage: Bacteria; Pseudomonadati; Pseudomonadota; Alphaproteobacteria. The record is from RNAcentral.
GGGCCCUUAGCUCAGUCGGUAGAGCAACUGACUUUUAAUCAGUAGGUCGCUGGUUCGACUCCAGCAGGGCUCACCA